Molecule: ribosomal RNA, 405 nt
Filed under: Triticum aestivum (bread wheat)
Lineage: Eukaryota; Viridiplantae; Streptophyta; Magnoliopsida; Poales; Poaceae
Description: partial small subunit ribosomal RNA
Source: RNAcentral
AUGAUUGAUGGCGAUUCUAGAAAAGUGUUUGCUCCAUCAGAUUCACAUAAAAAGAAAUUGCACAACUGCAUCAUGGCUGUCCAGUAUAUGAAGGAAGCUCCGGUUCUGAUAUCUGAUGCAGAUGUAGUCAGAGUUUCAGCAGAAUAUAUUCUUAAUGGCGACAAGGAACUAAUUCUUGCAUUUCUAUGGAAUAUGUUCAUUCAUAUGCAGGUUAAUCUACACAUGUCGUUCAGUAUCUCAUUACUCAUGUUGAAGUUUUAUACUGUUUUAUUUCACCUUUCGUUUGUACUGAAGAGGUGGACUAAUGGACUGACUUUUGUAUUUUUCACUCACUGCAUAGGCAGCAUUACAGUAGAGAUAUGUUGUACUUCUCAGCAUUAUGUUCUUCCCUCAGUCUGUUACUAA